GCGGGAAUGGCGGAAUUGGCAGACGCGUACGGUUCAGGUCCGUAUGGGGGCAACUUCAUGCAGGUUCAAGUCCUGUUUCCCGCA
RNAcentral lists this transfer RNA (84 nucleotides) under Clostridium sp. CAG:138. It matches the Rfam family "tRNA". From Rfam's summary of the family: Transfer RNA (tRNA) molecules are approximately 80 nucleotides in length. Their secondary structure includes four short double-helical elements and three loops (D, anti-codon, and T loops). Lineage: Bacteria; Bacillati; Bacillota; Clostridia; Eubacteriales; Clostridiaceae. The record is from Rfam by way of RNAcentral.